This 468-nucleotide ribosomal RNA is filed under the name uncultured bacterium. Its description in RNAcentral is "partial 16S ribosomal RNA". It matches the Rfam family "Bacterial small subunit ribosomal RNA", at positions 28 to 507 of the family's 1533-position model. The record is from RNAcentral.
GACGAACGCUGGCGGCGUGCUUAACACAUGCAAGUCGAACGGAAAGGCCCUGCUUUUGUGGGGUGCUCGAUUGGCGAACGGGGGAGUAACACGUGAGUAACCUGCCCUUGACUUUGGGAUAACUUCAGGAAACUGGGGCUAAUACCGGAUAGGAGCUCCUGCUGCAUGUGGGUGGUUGGAAAGUUUCGGCGGUUGGGGAUGGACUCGCGGCUUAUCAGCUUGUUGGUGGGGUAGUGGCUUACCAAGGCUUUGACGGGUAGCCGGCCUGAGAGGGUGACCGGCGACAUUGGGACUGCGAUACGGCCCAGACUCCUACGGGAGGCAGCAGUGGGGAAUAUUGCACAAUGGGCGGAAGCCUGAUGCAGCAACGCCGCGUGCGGGAUGACGGCCUUCGGGUUGUAAACCGCUUUCGCCUGUGACGAAGCGUGAGUGACGGUAAUGGGUAAAGAAGCACCGGCUAACUACGUG